RNAcentral lists this ribosomal RNA (486 nucleotides) under uncultured bacterium. Its description in RNAcentral is "bacterial SSU rRNA". It matches the Rfam family "Bacterial small subunit ribosomal RNA", at positions 28 to 514 of the family's 1533-position model. The record is from RNAcentral.
GACGAACGCUGGCGGCGUGCUUAAUACAUGCAAGUCAACUUGACUUUAGAUAGCAAUAUCGAAAGUAGGGUGGCGCACGGGUGCGUAACGCGUAGGUAAUCUGCCCUGAGGUCUGACAUAACCCGUCGAAAGGCGGGCUAACAUCAGAUGAUAUAUAGUCACGACAUCGUGGAAAUAUCAAAUCUUCGGAGCCUUGGGAUGAGCCUGCGUCUGAUUAGGUAGUUGGCGGAGUAAUAGCCCACCAAGCCUACGAUCAGUAGCUGGUCUGAGAGGAUGAUCAGCCACACUGGAACUGAGACACGGUCCAGACUCCUACGGGAGGCAGCAGUAAGGAAUAUUGCUCAAUGGGGGAAACCCUGAAGCAGCAACACCGCGUGAAGGAUGAAAUACUUUUGUAUGUAAACUUCUGUAAGAUGGGAAAAAUAUUCUCCUCGGGAGAAUUGAUUGUACCAUCAGAGUAAGCCCCGGCUAACUACGUGCCAGCAC